AUCCAGCUGAUGAGUUCCGAAUAGGGCUGAACGCACGUACUGGAU
This 45-nucleotide non-coding RNA is filed under the name Schistosoma mattheei. The record is from RNAcentral. Lineage: Eukaryota; Metazoa; Platyhelminthes; Trematoda; Strigeidida; Schistosomatidae.